AAAUUGAAGAGUUUGAUCAUGGCUCAGAUUGAACGCUGGCGGCAGGCCUAACACAUGCAAGUCGAACGGUAACAGGAAACAGCUUGCUGCUUCGCUGACGAGUGGCGGACGGGUGAGUAAUGUCUGGGAAACUGCCUGAUGGAGGGGGAUAACUACUGGAAACGGUAGCUAAUACCGCAUAACGUCGCAAGACCAAAGAGGGGGACCUUCGGGCCUCUUGCCAUCGGAUGUGCCCAGAUGGGAUUAGCUUGUUGGUGGGGUAACGGCUCACCUAGGCGACGAUCCCUAGCUGGUCUGAGAGGAUGACCAGCCACACUGGAACUGAGACACGGUCCAGACUCCUACGGGAGGCAGCAGUGGGGAAUAUUGCACAAUGGGCGCAAGCCUGAUGCAGCCAUGCCGCGUGUAUGAAGAAGGCCUUCGGGUUGUAAAGUACUUUCAGCGGGGAGGAAGGGAGUAAAGUUAAUACCUUUGCUCAUUGACGUUACCCGCAGAAGAAGCACCGGCUAACUCCGUGCCAGCAGCCGCGGUAAUACGGAGGGUGCAAGCGUUAAUCGGAAUUACUGGGCGUAA
Molecule: ribosomal RNA, 573 nt
Filed under: Escherichia coli
Lineage: Bacteria; Pseudomonadati; Pseudomonadota; Gammaproteobacteria; Enterobacterales; Enterobacteriaceae
Description: bacterial SSU rRNA
Rfam family: Bacterial small subunit ribosomal RNA
Source: RNAcentral